ACACUAGCAAAACAUUUGAAAUAUAGAUCUACCAGAAGAAGAAGAAAGAGAAAUGGUUCAAAACUACUUAUGUUAAUAUAUUUUUAAGACUAAAUGCCAGAUAUCUAAUGUAAAAAGUUCAACACAGGUCCAGGUAUACUUCUGCUUGUGCCUGACCUUUCCAUCAUAACUUUUGUCUACGAUCUGCCGGUCUUUUCACACACGGGCCUAAAGCUGACACUGGCCACCUACCGGUUGAUACAACAUGAUUUCCAUCUCUCAGCCAGUGGGAUACAACCAUCCGGUAAUCUACCCACAGCCAAUGUGUUACCAACCACUUCCGGCGUACACACCGCGAGCUUCUCAAACGUCAGGUAACAUUAUGCAUGCAGUGCUUUGGUUUCUGGCACUUAUCUUCUUUGCCUGGCCUCUGGCUUUUACCGUCUGCGCUUUGUACGUCUUAGUGAGUCCUUUUGGCCCUUGCUGUAAGUGUGUGAGCAUCAUUACAGACGCCCUGCUCAUUGCCGUCAGAUUGCCUCUCACUUGUAGUGAAAACAUGCUUCGCAAGACUCCAUUCUGUUAACACUCCUGGCCGUACACACCUGGUGAAUCAGUGAUUACAGAACGAGAAGUACCAACGAGUGACAUAACAUUGAAACUGGGCAAGAGAAACAUCACCCGAGAUAAAAAAAAGAAUUAAAAGAAUCAGAACACAAAAAAAAAUUCAUUUUUUAAUAAUGAAUAGGUAUUUC
This is an RNA transcript of Biomphalaria glabrata, 731 nucleotides long. RefSeq lists it as uncharacterized. The record is from RefSeq and is a predicted model, not a curated record. Lineage: Eukaryota; Metazoa; Mollusca; Gastropoda; Planorbidae. The transcript has 4 exons.